AACGAACGCUGGCGGCAGGCCUAACACAUGCAAGUCGAGCGGACCCUUCGGGGUUAGCGGCGGACGGGUGAGUAACGCGUGGGAAUAUGCCCUUCUCUACGGAAUAGUCCUGGGAAACUGGGGGUAAUACCGUAUACGCCCUUUGGGGGAAAGAUUUAUCGGGGAAGGAUUAGCCCGCGUUGGAUUAGGUAGUUGGUGGGGUAAUGGCCUACCAAGCCGACGAUCCAUAGCUGGUUUGAGAGGAUGAUCAGCCACACUGGGACUGAGACACGGCCCAGACUCCUACGGGAGGCAGCAGUGGGGAAUCUUAGACAAUGGGGGCAACCCUGAUCUAGCCAUGCCGCGUGAGUGAUGAAGGCCUUAGGGUUGUAAAGCUCUUUAAGCUGGGAAGAUAAUGACGGUACCAGCAGAAGAAGCCCCGGCUAACUCCGUG
RNAcentral lists this ribosomal RNA (433 nucleotides) under uncultured bacterium. RNAcentral's name for it is "partial 16S ribosomal RNA". It matches the Rfam family "Bacterial small subunit ribosomal RNA", at positions 29 to 507 of the family's 1533-position model. The record is from RNAcentral.